AAUCAACGCUGGCGGCGUGCCUCAGACAUGCAAGUCGAACGAUUAAAGCUCUCUUCGGAGAGUGUAUAGAGUGGCGCACGGGUGAGUAACACGUAAGUAAUCUACCCUCGAGUGGGGAAUAACAACCGGAAACGGUUGCUAAUACCGCAUAAUGCAGCGGCACCGCAAGGUGACAGUUGUUAAAGAUUUAUCGCUUGAGGAGGAGCUUGCGGCAGAUUAGCUAGUUGGUAGGGUAACGGCUUACCAAGGCUACGAUCUGUAACCGGUCUAAGAGGACGGUCGGUCACACUGACACUGAAUAACGGGUCAGACUCCUACGGGAGGCAGCAGUCGGGAAUUUUGGGCAAUGGGCGAAAGCCUGACCCAGCAACGCCGCGUGAAGGAUGAAGUAUUUCGGUAUGUAAACUUCGAAAGAAUAGGAAGAAUUAAUGACGGUACUAUUAUAAGGUCGGCUAACUACGUGCCAGCAGCCGCGGUAAU
This 480-nucleotide ribosomal RNA is filed under the name uncultured bacterium. RNAcentral's name for it is "bacterial SSU rRNA". It matches the Rfam family "Bacterial small subunit ribosomal RNA", at positions 32 to 524 of the family's 1533-position model. The record is from RNAcentral.